CAGCCCUGAACUCGCUGAAGUAGAACUUCAUCUCUGCCGUGUCAUACAUUGCCCUGUAGGUGCUUGGAACAAAGCCCUGCCUUGUUUCUUCAAAUGGAGACAGGCCACAAAGCGUCUUGCUUCCAGUUGUUUGGGAAGCUAAGAAGCAAAUCACUCUCCUCAGUGCUCUUACAGCCGACCGGGAACAUCUCUUACAAAGGCCUGUGAAACGCAGUUUCUUCCCAGCCCUGAUCUCGCUCAAGUAGAACUUCUGCUCUGCUGUGCAAUACAUUGCCCUAGAGAUGGAAGUCACAAUGGCCUGCCUGGCUUCCUUAAGAGGAGACAGGCCACAGACUGUCUCACUUGCAGCUCUAUGGCAGGGUGAGAAAGAACUCACUUUCCC
Molecule: long non-coding RNA, 382 nt
Filed under: Equus caballus (horse)
Lineage: Eukaryota; Metazoa; Chordata; Mammalia; Perissodactyla; Equidae
Description: lncRNA (ENSECAG00000059324.1)
Source: RNAcentral